GGAGUUGUAGCUCAGUGGUUGAGUGCUUGCCUAGCAUGUAGGAGGUACUGGGUUCAAUCCCAGCACCA
RNAcentral lists this transfer RNA (68 nucleotides) under Marmota marmota marmota (Alpine marmot). It matches the Rfam family "tRNA". Rfam says of the family: Transfer RNA (tRNA) molecules are approximately 80 nucleotides in length. Their secondary structure includes four short double-helical elements and three loops (D, anti-codon, and T loops). RNAcentral also lists the same sequence under 1 other name. Lineage: Eukaryota; Metazoa; Chordata; Mammalia; Rodentia; Sciuridae. The record is from Rfam by way of RNAcentral.